AUUGAACGCUGGCGGCAGGCCUAACACAUGCAAGUCGAGCGGCAGCGCGUCCGACCACCCUCGGGUGGUCGGAUGGCGGCGAGCGGCGGACGGGUGAGGAAUGCAUCGGAAUCUGCCUCGUUGUGGGGGAUAACGUAGGGAAACUUACGCUAAUACCGCAUACGACCUACGGGUGAAAGUGGGAGACCUUCGGGCCUCACGCGAUGAGAUGAGCCGAUGCCGGAUUAGCUAGUUGGCGGGGUAAAGGCCCACCAAGGCGACGAUCCGUAGCUGGUCUGAGAGGAUGACCAGCCACACUGGAACUGAGACACGGCCCAGACUCCUACGGGAGGCAGCAGUGGGGAAUAUUGGACAAUGGGGGGAACCCUGAUCCAGCUACGCCGCGUGGGUGAUGAAGGCCUU
Molecule: ribosomal RNA, 402 nt
Filed under: uncultured bacterium
Lineage: Bacteria
Description: bacterial SSU rRNA
Rfam family: Bacterial small subunit ribosomal RNA
Source: RNAcentral